RNAcentral lists this ribosomal RNA (799 nucleotides) under Bacillus subtilis. RNAcentral's name for it is "bacterial SSU rRNA". It matches the Rfam family "Bacterial small subunit ribosomal RNA", at positions 578 to 1377 of the family's 1533-position model. Lineage: Bacteria; Bacillati; Bacillota; Bacilli; Caryophanales; Bacillaceae. The record is from RNAcentral.
GUUUCUUAAGUCUGAUGUGAAAGCCCCCGGCUCAACCGGGGAGGGUCAUUGGAAACUGGGGAACUUGAGUGCAGAAGAGGAGAGUGGAAUUCCACGUGUAGCGGUGAAAUGCGUAGAGAUGUGGAGGAACACCAGUGGCGAAGGCGACUCUCUGGUCUGUAACUGACGCUGAGGAGCGAAAGCGUGGGGAGCGAACAGGAUUAGAUACCCUGGUAGUCCACGCCGUAAACGAUGAGUGCUAAGUGUUAGGGGGUUUCCGCCCCUUAGUGCUGCAGCUAACGCAUUAAGCACUCCGCCUGGGGAGUACGGUCGCAAGACUGAAACUCAAAGGAAUUGACGGGGGCCCGUACAAGCGGUGGAGCAUGUGGUUUAAUUCGAAGCAACGCGAAGAACCUUACCAGGUCUUGACAUCCUCUGACAAUCCUAGAGAUAGGACGUCCCCUUCGGGGGCAGAGUGACAGGUGGUGCAUGGUUGUCGUCAGCUCGUGUCGUGAGAUGUUGGGUUAAGUCCCGCAACGAGCGCAACCCUUGAUCUUAGUUGCCAGCAUUCAGUUGGGCACCCUAAGGUGACUGCCGGUGACAAACCGGAGGAAGGUGGGGAUGACGUCAAAUCAUCAUGCCCCUUAUGACCUGGGCUACACACGUGCUACAAUGGACAGAACAAAGGGCAGCGAAACCGCGAGGUUAAGCCAAUCCCACAAAUCUGUUCUCAGUUCGGAUCGCAGUCUGCAACUCGACUGCGUGAAGCUGGAAUCGCUAGUAAUCGCGGAUCAGCAUGCCGCGGUGAAUACGUUCCCGA